RNAcentral lists this ribosomal RNA (398 nucleotides) under uncultured Thermus sp. RNAcentral describes it as "bacterial SSU rRNA". It matches the Rfam family "Bacterial small subunit ribosomal RNA", at positions 987 to 1382 of the family's 1533-position model. Lineage: Bacteria; Thermotogati; Deinococcota; Deinococci; Thermales; Thermaceae. The record is from RNAcentral.
CGUACGGGAACCCGGGUGAAAGCCUGGGGUGCCCGCGAGGGAGCCCUAGCACAGGUGCUGCAUGGCCGUCGUCAGCUCGUGCCGUGAGGUGUUGGGUUAAGUCCCGCAACGAGCGCAACCCCGCCGUUAGUUGCCAGCGGUUCGGCCGGGCACUCUAACGGGACUGCCCGCGAAAGCGGGAGGAAGGAGGGGACGACGUCUGGUCAGCAUGGCCCUUACGGCCUGGGCGACACACGUGCUACAAUGCCCACUACAAAGCGAUGCCACCCGGCAACGGGGAGCUAAUCGCAAAAAAGGUGGGCCCAGUUCGGAUUGGGGUCUGCAACCCGACCCCAUGAAGCCGGAAUCGCUAGUAAUCGCGGAUCAGCCAUGCCGCGGUGAAUACGUUCCCGGGCCCU